This 497-nucleotide ribosomal RNA is filed under the name uncultured bacterium. RNAcentral describes it as "partial 16S ribosomal RNA". It matches the Rfam family "Bacterial small subunit ribosomal RNA", at positions 28 to 507 of the family's 1533-position model. The record is from RNAcentral.
GAUGAACGCUGGCGGCGUGCCUAAUACAUGCAAGUCGAGCGAACGGACGAGAAGCUUGCUUCUCUGAUGUUAGCGGCGGACGGGUGAGUAACACGUGGAUAACCUACCUAUAAGACUGGGAUAACUUCGGGAAACCGUAGCUAAUACCGGAUAAUAUUUUGAACCGCAUGGUUCAAAAGUGAAAGACGGUCUUACUGUCACUUAUAGAUGGAUCCGCGCUGCAUUAGCUAGUUGGUAAGGUAACGGCUUACCAAGGCAACGAUGCAUAGCCGACCUGAGAGGGUGAUCGGCCACCCUGGAACUGAGACACGGUCCAGACUCCUACGGGAGGCAGCAGUAGGGAAUCUUCCGCAAUGGGCGAAAGCCUGACGGAGCAACACCGCGUGAGUGAUGAAGGUCUUCGGAUCGUAAAACUCUGUUAUUAGGGAAGAACAUAUGUGUAAGUAACUGUGCACAUCUUGACGGUACCUAAUCAGAAAGCCACGGCUAACUACGUG